AGGAUUAACGCUGGCGGCGUGCCUAACACAUGCAAGUCGAACGAGGUAGCAAUACCUAGUGGCAGACGGGUGAGUAACGCGUGGUCAACCUACCGUUGAGUGGGGGAUAACUAGCCGAAAGGUUAGCUAAUACCGCAUACGAGUCUCGGGGGCAUCCCUGGGCCUUAAAAGGAGCAAUCCGCUCGAUGACGGGACCGCGUCCCAUUAGCUAGAUGGUGGGGUAAUGGCCUACCAUGGCUCCGAUGGGUAGCUGGUUUGAGAGAGCGACCAGCCACACUGGGACUGAGAAACGGCCCAGACUCCUACGGGAGGCAGCAGUGAGGAAUUUUCCGCAAUGGGCGAAAGCCUGACGGAGCGACGCCGCGUGUGGGAAGAAGGCCUUCGGGUCGUAAACCACUGUCGAAGGGGACGAUAAUGACGGUACCUUGGAGGAAGCCCGGCUAACUACGCGCCAGCAGCCGC
This 462-nucleotide ribosomal RNA is filed under the name uncultured bacterium. RNAcentral's name for it is "SSU rRNA". It matches the Rfam family "Bacterial small subunit ribosomal RNA", at positions 26 to 518 of the family's 1533-position model. The record is from RNAcentral.